This 235-nucleotide ribosomal RNA is filed under the name uncultured bacterium. Its description in RNAcentral is "partial 16S ribosomal RNA". It matches the Rfam family "Bacterial small subunit ribosomal RNA", at positions 102 to 334 of the family's 1533-position model. The record is from RNAcentral.
CCGACGGGUGAGUAACACGUAUCCAACCUGCCGUCUACUCUUGGACAGCCUUCUGAAAGGAAGAUUAAUACAAGAUGGCAUCAUGAGUUCACAUGUUCACAUGAUUAAAGGUAUUCCGGUAGACGAUGGGGAUGCGUUCCAUUAGAUAGUAGGCGGGGUAACGGCCCACCUAGUCUUCGAUGGAUAGGGGUUCUGAGAGGAAGGUCCCCCACAUUGGAACUGAGACACGGACCAA